Small nuclear RNA from Carcharodon carcharias (great white shark), 163 nucleotides. RefSeq annotates it as U1 spliceosomal RNA. The transcript has a single exon. Lineage: Eukaryota; Metazoa; Chordata; Chondrichthyes; Lamniformes; Lamnidae. The record is from RefSeq and is a predicted model, not a curated record.
GCACUUACCUGGCAGGGGAGAGACAAUGAUCAGGAGGGUUGUGCUCCCGGGAUGGAGCUAUCCAUUGUACUCCGGGUGUGCUGAUGCCUGUGAUGCCCCUAAAUGAGGUAUACUUGACUACAAAAUUUGUGGUGGUGGGGGACAGCGUUCGUGCUUUCUCCUG